CGCAAGCCUGACGGAGCAAGACCGCGUGGGGGAGGAAGGCUCUUGGGUUGUAAACCCCUUUUCUCAGGGAAGAACAAAUGACGGUACCUGAGGAAUCAGCCUCGGCUAACUCCGUGCCAGCAGCCGCGGUAAUACGGAGGAGGCAAGCGUUAUCCGGAUUUAUUGGGCGUAAAGCGUUCGCAGGUGGUUCUUCAAGUCUGCUGUCAAAGCACGGGGCUUAACUCCGUAAAGGCAGUGGAAACUGAAUAGCGAGAGUGCCGUAGGGGUAGAGGGAAUUCCCGGUGUAGCGGUGAAAUGCGUAGAGAUCGGGAAGAACAUCGGUGGCGAAAGCGCUCUACUGGACGGCAACUGACACUCAGGGACGAAAGCUAGGGGAGCG
Molecule: ribosomal RNA, 379 nt
Filed under: uncultured cyanobacterium
Lineage: Bacteria; Bacillati; Cyanobacteriota
Description: bacterial SSU rRNA
Rfam family: Bacterial small subunit ribosomal RNA
Source: RNAcentral